RNAcentral lists this ribosomal RNA (818 nucleotides) under uncultured bacterium. RNAcentral's name for it is "bacterial SSU rRNA". It matches the Rfam family "Bacterial small subunit ribosomal RNA", at positions 8 to 796 of the family's 1533-position model. The record is from RNAcentral.
AGAGUUUGAUCCUGGCUCAGAACGAACGCUGGCGGCGUGGAUAAGACAUGCAAGUCGAACGCUCAUUGCCGGGUAGCAAUAUUCGGCGGUGGGAGUGGCGCAAGGGUGCGUAACACGUGGGUAAUUUGCCGCGAAGUUGGGGAUAACUCGCUGAAAGGCGAGCUAAUACCGGAUGUGGUAGGCUGGUGGCAUCAUUGGCUUGACCAAAGUUGGGGACCCGCAAGGGCCUGACGCUUCGCGAUAAGCCCGCGGCCUAUCAGCUAGUUGGUGAGGUAACGGCUCACCAAGGCAAAGACGGGUAGCUGGUCUGAGAGGACGACCAGCCACACUGGAACUGAGAGACGGUCCAGACACCUACGGGUGGCAGCAGUCGAGAAUUUUUCACAAUGGGCGCAAGCCUGAUGGAGCGACGCCGCGUGGGGGAUGAAGGGCUUCGGCUCGUAAACCCCUGUCAUUUGCGAACAAACCCUCACAUUGAACAGGUGUGAGGUUGAUUGUAGUGAAAGAGGAAGGGACGGCUAACUCUGUGCCAGCAGCCGCGGUAAUACAGAGGUCCCGAGCGUUGUUCGGAUUCACUGGGCGUAAAGGGUGCGUAGGUGGUGGGGUAAGUCUCGUGUGAAAGCUCGCAGCUUAACUGCGAAAAGUCACGGGAUACUAUUCCGCUGGAGGCUUGGAGGGGGGACUGGAAUACUUGGUGUAGCAGUGAAAUGCGUAGAUAUCAAGUGGAACACCAGUGGCGAAGGCGAGUCCCUGGACAAGACCUGACACUGAGGCACGAAAGCCAGGGGAGCAAACAGGAUUAGAUACCCUGGUAGUCC